AAAUUGAAGAGUUUGAUCAUGGCUCAGAUUGAACGCUGGCGGCAGGCCUAACACAUGCAAGUCGAGCGGUAGCACAGAGAGCUUGCUCUCGGGUGACGAGCGGCGGACGGGUGAGUAAUGUCUGGGAAACUGCCUGAUGGAGGGGGAUAACUACUGGAAACGGUAGCUAAUACCGCAUAAUGUCGCAAGACCAAAGUGGGGGACCUUCGGGCCUCAUGCCAUCAGAUGUGCCCAGAUGGGAUUAGCUAGUAGGUGGGGUAACGGCUCACCUAGGCGACGAUCCCUAGCUGGUCUGAGAGGAUGACCAGCCACACUGGAACUGAGACACGGUCCAGACUCCUACGGGAGGCAGCAGUGGGGAAUAUUGCACAAUGGGCGCAAGCCUGAUGCAGCCAUGCCGCGUGUGUGAAGAAGGCCUUCGGGUUGUAAAGCACUUUCAGCGGGGAGGAAGGAA
This 454-nucleotide ribosomal RNA is filed under the name Klebsiella pneumoniae. RNAcentral's name for it is "bacterial SSU rRNA". It matches the Rfam family "Bacterial small subunit ribosomal RNA", at positions 1 to 453 of the family's 1533-position model. The record is from RNAcentral. Lineage: Bacteria; Pseudomonadati; Pseudomonadota; Gammaproteobacteria; Enterobacterales; Enterobacteriaceae.